GAACACACAAGAAUAGACAGAAUAAGGUAUAUAGUGAUAUAAU
Molecule: non-coding RNA, 43 nt
Filed under: Trypanosoma brucei brucei
Lineage: Eukaryota; Euglenozoa; Kinetoplastea; Trypanosomatida; Trypanosomatidae
Source: RNAcentral